RNAcentral lists this long non-coding RNA (365 nucleotides) under Mytilus galloprovincialis (Mediterranean mussel). The record is from RNAcentral. Lineage: Eukaryota; Metazoa; Mollusca; Bivalvia; Mytilida; Mytilidae.
AUUUGAAAUAAUUCAUCAAAUAAUAUUUGCAGAAAUGUAUUUUUACAAAAUCAUUAUUGUUUUCGAUUUUCGGCUAAAGUUUAACAUGCCGUAGUAUAUAUGCAAUAAUAUAUAGACAAUCUGUGACAUGACCCAAAUUACUGUAACUUGACCUUAACCAGUACACUAAGUAUCGCUUCAAAAUCGAUAGGCAUACAAAACAUAGCAGGAUAUUAGUUCUACUGAUAGUAAAAUCACAAACAUAUUGUGACAUGAGUGUUCAUAUCAUGACCACGCAUUUUUGUUGAAUGUGAAAGAUGUAUAGUGCAGUAGCACCCGAAUUAGAAGAAAUAACAAGGCAUGACACAAGUCAAUUAACAGCGACA